GAUGAACGCUGGCGGCGUGCCUAAUACAUGCAAGUCGAGCGAACAGACGAGGAACUUGCUCCUCUGACGUUAGCGGCGGACGGGUGAGUAACACGUGGAUAACCUACCUAUAAGACUGGGAUAACUUCGGGAAACCGGAGCUAAUACCGGAUAAUAUAUUGAACCGCAUGGUUCAAUAGUGAAAGACGGUUUUGCUGUCACUUAUAGAUGGAUCCGCGCCGCAUUAGCUAGUUGGUAAGGUAACGGCUUACCAAGGCAACGAUGCGUAGCCGACCUGAGAGGGUGAUCGGCCACACUGGAACUGAGACACGGUCCAGACUCCUACGGGAGGCAGCAGUAGGGAAUCUUCCGCAAUGGGCGAAAGCCUGACGGAGCAACGCCGCGUGAGUGAUAAAGGUCUUCGGAUCGUAAAACUCUGUUAUUAGGGAAGAAUAAAUGUGUAAGUAACUAUGCACGUCUUGACGGUACCUAAUCAGAAAGCCACGGCUAACUACGUG
Molecule: ribosomal RNA, 497 nt
Filed under: uncultured bacterium
Lineage: Bacteria
Description: partial 16S ribosomal RNA
Rfam family: Bacterial small subunit ribosomal RNA
Source: RNAcentral